GACGAACCGUGCGAACGUUAUUCGGAAUCACUGGGCUUAAAGCGCGUGUAGGCGGGCCGCCACGUCGGGCGCUGAAAUCCCCCGGCUCAACCGGGGAACGGGCACCGAUACGAGCGGCCUGGAGGGGAGUAGGGGGACCUGGAACUUCCGGUGGAGCGGUGAAAUGCGUAGAUAUCGGAAGGAACACCGGUGGCGAAAGCGGCGCGCUGGACCUCUUCUGACGCUGAGGCGCGAAAGCCAGGGGAGCGAACGGG
RNAcentral lists this ribosomal RNA (254 nucleotides) under uncultured bacterium. RNAcentral's name for it is "partial 16S ribosomal RNA". It matches the Rfam family "Bacterial small subunit ribosomal RNA", at positions 524 to 776 of the family's 1533-position model. The record is from RNAcentral.